GAAAUGUGAUAAGUAAUGUGAAUUGCAGAAUUCAGUGAAUCAUCGAAUCUUUGAACGCAACUUGCGCUCUUUGGUAUUCCGAAGAGCAUGUCUGUUUGAGUGUUAUGAAAUUUUCAACCCAACCUUUUGUUUUCGAAUGAUCGGACGUGGUGUUGGUUCGUGGGCUUGCCGGUUGAGAGAUGGGCUUGCCUUAAAUGCAUGAGCAGUGUCACCAGUUGAACUGGCUUGACUUGGCGUAAUAAGAUAUUACCGCUGAGGACAACCGCUUGUCGGUUGGCCAGGAAGCUUGAGUGAGGGCUUCAAAUGAAACUUCUAAACUUUGACCUCAAAUCAGACAGGACUACCCGCUGAACUUAA
Molecule: unclassified non-coding RNA, 357 nt
Filed under: uncultured Basidiomycota
Lineage: Eukaryota; Fungi; Basidiomycota
Description: sequence contains ITS1
Rfam family: 5.8S ribosomal RNA (bases 1-105)
Source: RNAcentral